Danio rerio (zebrafish) is the source of this 170-nucleotide non-coding RNA. The record is from RefSeq and is a predicted model, not a curated record. Lineage: Eukaryota; Metazoa; Chordata; Actinopteri; Cypriniformes; Danionidae.
CGGCAGUACAACACCCUACAGUCCGCCAAGACCAAUUUGCAAAUCCUACUACUGUGAAGGCUUGGCUCAUGAAUAUUAAUCAGGUACCGUGACGUUCGGAGAGCUGAUUGGGUGAAAAGCAGACGUUGAAUAAAGCAUGUGUAAACCAGUUUCCUCUUCAGAAUGAGCAG